UCUCCGUUGGUGAACCAGCGGAGGGAUCAUUAUAGAGUUUUCUAAACUCCCAACCCAUGUGAACUUACCAUAUGUUGCCUCGGCAGAACCUACCCUGUAGCGGGCUGCCGGCGGACCUCUAAACUCUUGUUAUACUAUUGUAAUCUGAGCGUCUUAUUUUAAUAAGUCAAAACUUUCAACAACGGAUCUCUUGGUUCUGGCAUCGAUGAAGAACGCAGC
Molecule: unclassified non-coding RNA, 219 nt
Filed under: uncultured fungus
Lineage: Eukaryota; Fungi
Description: sequence contains ITS1, 5.8S rRNA gene
Rfam family: 5.8S ribosomal RNA (bases 171-219)
Source: RNAcentral